Molecule: long non-coding RNA, 1052 nt
Organism: Phyllopteryx taeniolatus (common seadragon)
Lineage: Eukaryota; Metazoa; Chordata; Actinopteri; Syngnathiformes; Syngnathidae
Exons: 4
Source: RefSeq, a predicted model, not a curated record
GACGGAGAUAAAAAUACUUUUCGCAGCCCAAUCCGCCUGAUGAUAGCCCCUGCCAUUGCCAUGGCAACAGGAAGGAAGCAGAAUAGUCUCGGAGCUCAGUGGGACAGGCUGAACUGUGACAGAAACAAAGAGUGUGAGUGACUGUAGCCUCCUGAAAAGACAGUCUGGAUACGAACGCAGACCUGUUAAUUGUAAUAUAUAGAGGAUCGAGAAUUCCAGAAUACUUGACAGCCUCUCUUCAAGCCCGGACGGUCCUGUUACAUCCAAAUAAGCCACUUCUUGCCGCCUCCCCUCCAUCUAUCGGAAGAGACCUCCGACUUCGUAACCGUAAGGUUUGCCCUGCUGAUGCAGUUCAACAAAGAGCUAUUCGUAGUACGUCACACCUACACCUACCAGGUACCUGGCAGAAGUGCUGCGAUUGGCUGGCAACCAGUUCAGGGUGUACCCCGCCUCUUGCCCGAUGACAGCUGGGAUAGGCUCCAGCACGCCCGCGACCCUAGUGAGGAGAAGCGGCUCAGAAAAUGGAUGGAUGGAUGGAUUACAUAGAAGUGAACAGAAGUGACGUCAGCCCCAAAUGUGAAUGUUUUUAAGUACAGGUUAAAAUCUCUUCUUGUUUCUCAUGCUUUUUAGAGCAUUUCCACUUUUAAAUGAUAUUUCUUGAACUGUACGCGGUUUUAAUUGUACUUUGAUUUUUUUCUCUCUUUGUUUUAAAUGUUUACAAGCUGUUUUUUUCCCUUUGGUUUUAAAUGCUUUUAAUCAUGUAAAGCACAUUGCGUUACUUUGUGUAUGCAAUGUGCUAUAUAAAUAAAUUUGCUUUCAUUUUAACCAAUUCCAUUUUUAUACUGACUGGUUCUGGCUCGGUUGGUAAAGCGGGUUGUCCAGUGACCGAUGGGUCAGCAGUUUGAAUCCCAGCUCCAACUGCUGUCCAAGUGUCCUUGGGCAAGACACUGAACCCUAAUUUGCUCCCAGUGGGCCUGGCAGCGCCUUGCAUGGCAACAGCUGUCAAUUUGUGUAUGAAUAUGUGUCCGAAUUGCUCAGUAAAAUAUGUCUAA